Molecule: long non-coding RNA, 374 nt
Filed under: Brassica napus (rape)
Lineage: Eukaryota; Viridiplantae; Streptophyta; Magnoliopsida; Brassicales; Brassicaceae
Description: long non-coding RNA (BNAP_LNC014533)
Source: RNAcentral
UCGGUGUAAUUUUAAAUUGUAUUGAUUAUAAUUUGGCUGUGUUAGGGAUAGUUGUUGAGUUAUCCGCGUGGUGUACAGUAGGCUUGGGCGUUCGGAUCUUCGGGUCGGAUCGGACCAGUUCCUUUUAGAUCCGGAUCUUUCGGAUUCUAAACAUUUAGAUCCAAUAGGUAUUUGAAAAUUAUCGGUUCGGUUUCAGAUCAGUUCUUCUCGGAUCAAGUUCGGUUCGGGUCUAUAAUUAAAAUACUUAUAAAAUACCCGUAAUUUUCGGAUCCAUAUCGAAUCCGGAUCGGGUUCGGGUAUUUAGAAUCUGAGAAGGACAUGACAUACUCAAACUCCAUCAAAUUUAGUCAAUAUUUUUCAUAUAUCUAAAAUUU